Molecule: ribosomal RNA, 430 nt
Filed under: bacterium
Lineage: Bacteria
Description: partial 16S ribosomal RNA
Rfam family: Bacterial small subunit ribosomal RNA
Source: RNAcentral
UGGGGAAUAUUGGACAAUGGGCGCAAGCCUGAUCCAGCCAUGCCGCGUGUGUGAAGAAGGCCUUUUGGUUGUAAAGCACUUUAAGCGAGGAGGAGGCUACUUGGAUUAAUACUCUAGGAUAGUGGACGUUACUCGCAGAAUAAGCACCGGCUAACUCUGUGCCAGCAGCCGCGGUAAUACAGAGGGUGCGAGCGUUAAUCGGAUUUACUGGGCGUAAAGCGUGCGUAGGCGGCUUUUUAAGUCGGAUGUGAAAUCCCGGAGCUUAACUUAGGAAUUGCAUUCGAUACUGGGAAGCUAGAGUAUGGGAGAGGAUGGUAGAAUUCCAGGUGUAGCGGUGAAAUGCGUAGAGAUCUGGAGGAAUACCGAUGGCGAAGGCAGCCAUCUGGCCUAAUACUGACGCUGAGGUACGAAAGCAUGGGGAGCAAACAGG